Molecule: long non-coding RNA, 202 nt
Organism: Dioscorea cayenensis subsp. rotundata (Guinea yam)
Lineage: Eukaryota; Viridiplantae; Streptophyta; Magnoliopsida; Dioscoreales; Dioscoreaceae
Exons: 3
Source: RefSeq, a predicted model, not a curated record
GAGCUAAGAACCCUAGCUUCUCCUCCAUUCAUCCUCUCCAGGCUUUUGAAUGAUUAAAGGUUGGUCCCCAUCUCCUCUCUUUUGUUUCCUAGAUCCAUUGAAGUGAGAAGGACAUGAGGAAGAAAGGAGUUCGAGAAAGGAAGAAAGAUGUAUUGAUGCAGUGGUAUACUCGAGACCGUUGAUUCGCGCACGAAUACCCGGU